RNAcentral lists this long non-coding RNA (496 nucleotides) under Anas platyrhynchos platyrhynchos (common mallard). Its description in RNAcentral is "lncRNA (ENSAPLG00000030701.1)". The record is from RNAcentral. Lineage: Eukaryota; Metazoa; Chordata; Aves; Anseriformes; Anatidae.
UAUUUUUGCUAUAAAUCCAGCAAUAUUAUAGUUGGACUCGAUGAUUCUUUGGGUCCCUUCUCGCUUGUAUAUCCUAUGACAAUUCUAUUGUAUCUUUCUACCAAGCUCAGGCUGGGAGUGGAGCUGGAAACAGUGCAAGGAGCAUGUUGGAGUUGCUGUGGUCUCAGAAACUGAGGUGGAAGGUGAAGGGACUGAUAACUGCAGUGCAUGGGACUUCCCUGGGGAGCCUCUCUGGAUGCCUGGUCCUGUACAAUAUUGCCUGUGUUCGAGACCUUGGCACCACAUGGUGACAUCUUGAAGUAUUUCUUCUGUAAGUCUCUGCCUUCUGACAGGAGUGGUAUGGAGUUGGGAGGGAUGAGGGAGGAUCCGUGACACUGAUGAGUUCUCACGGUGAGAAUCUACCAACAUCAUAUAAUAAUGACUAGAGCUAGUCUUCUGACGUUUGGUGACUGCAGCUUAAUUUGCAUGAAUAAAAAUAUUUUCAGCUGUGCGUGCA